Molecule: ribosomal RNA, 253 nt
Filed under: uncultured bacterium
Lineage: Bacteria
Description: partial 16S ribosomal RNA
Rfam family: Bacterial small subunit ribosomal RNA
Source: RNAcentral
UACGGGGGGGGCAAGCGUUGUUCGGAAUUACUGGGCGUAAAGGGCGCGUAGGCGGCCUUCUAAGUCAGACGUGAAAUCCCUCGGCUCAACCGGGGAACUGCGUCUGAGACUGAAAGGCUUGAAUCCGGGAGAGGAAUGCGGAAUUCCAGGUGUAGCGGUGAAAUGCGUAGAUAUCUGGAGGAACACCGGUGGCGAAGGCGGCAUUCUGGACCGGCAUUGACGCUGAGGCGCGAAAGCCAGGGGAGCAAACGGG